UGCUAGGUGGUUGGUAUGAAAAGGCGUUGGUUGCUCAGGUGUUGCUAGGUGGUUGGUAUGAAAAGGCGUUGGUUGCUCAGGUGUUGCUAGGUAGUUGGUAUGAAAAGGCGUUGGUUGCUCAGGUGUUGCUAGGUGGUUGGUAUGAAAAGGCGUUGGUUGCUCAGGUGUUGCUAGGUAGUUGGUAUGAAAAGGCGUUGGUUGCUCAGGUGUUGCUAGGUGGUUGGUAUGAAAAGGCGUUGGUUGCUCAGGUGUUGCUAGGUGGUUGGUAUGAAAAGGCAGGCUAACCACAAAGAGGCUAAUUGCUAACAAGAUAACCACUAACAGCUAACAAGCUAACCGCAAAAAGGCUAACUGCUAACAAACUAACGGCUAAAAGACUAACUGCUUACAACUAACCACUAACAUGUGAACCCAUAACAAGCUAACCGCUAAAAGAAUAACUACUAACAAGCUAACCGCCCUUACAAGCUAACGUGUGUGUUUAAAUGUGUUUAAAUAGUCAAUAUAUUUAAAAAGGCUGUAUUUCCUACAAAUGUAUCAAUUUUAGCUUAUAAACAUUUCUUUGAGCCCCACAGUGAGCAGCAUAUAGGCUAAAAAUUUAAACAUGAUAAAUUUGAACUUAAAUUAUAUAUUAACAUGCAACUUACAGUAGCUAAAUAUAUUAGUUUGAAGGGAUGUUCACAAACAUCUGGACACAGUGUAGUAAAUCACAUUUAAAGAGAAAAGUAAAAAACCUGGAAUAUAAAAUCAGCCCCAGGUGUGCAGUAAUAAUCAUUAUUAAUCUACAGGGAAGGGAUAUAUAUGGGUAUAAAUAUAUGUGGUGUUGAGUGAGGUGCUCUGAACUCUGCCCCUGCUGAGACAGGUGAACACCGGCCUCCACAGACACGGCACACACUGAGACCGGCUGUGUGAAUGAAUGAGAAGCUUCGGGUCAACACCAGUAUAAUGUGUGUUUUGUGUCGCAGCAUAACGUAGUAACAUUCGCUAUUUAGAAAAACGCUGUUUAUAUAUAUAUAUAUAUAUAUAUA
Long non-coding RNA from Astyanax mexicanus (Mexican tetra), 1028 nucleotides. RefSeq lists it as uncharacterized. The record is from RefSeq and is a predicted model, not a curated record. The transcript is spliced from 3 exons. Lineage: Eukaryota; Metazoa; Chordata; Actinopteri; Characiformes; Acestrorhamphidae.